GUUCGCCGUGUGGUCUGCCGUGUUAUCCGGUUGUUGUCUCUGCCUUGUGGCCAGCAUGUUUGUGUCCUGCUGUAUCGUUUUCACCUUGUCUGCUGCCAGGUAUAUGUUUUUAUCACGCUUGCUGUCAUCUUUCAUUAGAUUCGUUUCGAAAUGGACCCAGUUGUUUAGGAUGGAGUUGGAGUCUGGCGUUAAGAUGGAAACUAGUGGCACACAACAACAAAAGCAGCAGUCACAUCAAAACCCGCAACAGAGGUAAACCACGACUUUCCACCAAACAACCGGCCGUCGUCAUUAGAUUCAAUGUAUGCACACGUGCAAUGAACCACACCGAUCAACGUACUGGAGCCUGUAGCCCUUCCUCAGAUCAGUCGAAGAGACACUAAUGCGUGGGCUGUUUUGCGCUGGAUUAGCUGCAAAUCUCCCGUGCCGCACAUUCAGCAUGCUACUCGUAUUUUAACAUCAUUAAUAAUGGAUGAAGAGAUUGUAAUCCGCGAGCAGCAGUGGCAGGACACUAGGAAAUGGAGGACAGAGGAGAGGUUCGGAGUCACAGCCUUUCAUCCCCAACACCGGUCUGAAUCAUUGAUAAACUGAUAACAUUCCCAAUUAUCUUCGUCCAAUUGUAAUAUCCAAUCUCCCAACAGUGACAUUGUCUGGGAUGUAAUUUGCCUGGAACUCACAAAGGUUUUGUGGCAUUUAACCAAAUGCCAGUGAGAGGAAGGGAAAAAUAGAUUGGGGGGGGGGGUUGGACGUCUCCGCGGUGCACAGCCUGGUGUCUUCCAUUGAUUGUGUUUACUCGAGCUUCUCAUUGCCGACCAUUACGCAAGACUAAGGACACACCCUGCCCUAACAGCAGGAUAAUGGGAUUAGUGUUCAACGUAUUCACCAUGCCUCCACCGCCUGCACGGCUUCAUGUGAACAUAAUGGAAGAUGCAAUGUCCGUACAAAGUGGCCGCCUGUCGCACUUAUGGAGGUGUGAUAGGAUACAGUAUGUGAUUGGAACCACCUCAGGCAUUGGUGUCUGAGAAUGAUUCAGUGUCAUUCAUUGAGCUGCGUUGUUGUGGCUGAUGUUUGUGUCAGGGUCGGUUUGAGGUUAGAAUUAUUUGUUCACUAAUAUACUCAGCCUUUCGGGGCUGGUGAGCCUGCUGGCUAGUGGCCCAUCUGCACUGGCUACCCACUGAGGGCUCUCCUUUGUGUUGCGGCUGCUGUCUCAUUUAGACGACCGUGGGCAUCAAAGUGGAGAGGUCGGUAAUCCAGAGGAGACUCUCCACAACCAACCACCUUUAGUAAUUAUGUCACAUUCUGCCGUAAUGGAAUAAUUCAACUCAAAGAGAAGAGAAGAGAAAAGGAGAGGAACAGAAGACAGAUGCUUUGAUCUUUUCCUAAACCUUUUCCCGGAGGAAUGGCCAUCUGAUGAGUUAAAGACACGGCUAUUUGAGGAUCUGAUUCUUCUUUUCACUCCAGUCAGAUUGUUAUUUUUUCUUUCUUUCUAAAUAUAUAUAUUUUUUAUAUUGUUCUUUAAAGUAUUUUAAAGGGAUUGCUUUUGUAAGGAAUAUGUUUUAGCUACUUACUGUAACUCUUUUUUAUUUUAUUUAUUUUUGUUGCACAAGAUAUAUUUUUGAUUGUUGUUUAUUUGUUUUAUUGUAUUGUAGCUGAGUGUUUGGUCUGGUUAUGCCUUUGACCAGGUCACCAUUGUAAAUGAGAAUUGGUUCUCAGUCAGCUUACCUGGUUAAACAAGGCGAAAGUAAAAGAAAAGAAAAUAAUUAAAAUGUAUUUAAUAUGGAUGAAUGGAUUACUUUAAGAUGAUUACUCAACAUUGAAUUGUUUAAUAUUUCUUACACUGUAAAAAGUACUACUACUGUAGUGAAAGUUUUUCGCCUCAUUUGUUUGGUUGAAUC
Molecule: long non-coding RNA, 1895 nt
Organism: Esox lucius (northern pike)
Lineage: Eukaryota; Metazoa; Chordata; Actinopteri; Esociformes; Esocidae
Exons: 3
Source: RefSeq, a predicted model, not a curated record